UUUAAUGUCACAUAAUGGUAGCUAGCUAGCAAGCUAGCUUUUUUAUAAGGGUUAUUAGCUGCACCUUGUGCUGUUGUGCUCUUGUUUUUUAGUGUGGAAGAAUCUGUAAAGCUCAGGAGGGAUAGCGCCAUGGAUGGUCAUUCCUCACCUCUCUUUUUCUCUCUUUCUCCCCUUUGAUCUUCUCUUGCGCUAUCCAUCCUGAGUUUCAUGGCUUCUCUCCACACACAAUGGAACCUUCUUCUCCCUUUGCUUUUUCUUCUUCCACUUCUUCAUUCACCACCACCACCACACAAGGAUGACGAAGUCAGUGGAACAAUAUGAAGGUGUUCAAGUCUUUUGGGUCGUGUUAAAGUUUUCUCCUUUGAAAAUGGUUUUUUAAGUUUUAAAAGUUGACUAGUCAGAAUUUGGUAUAUGUUAAUGUCUAACACCAUCAUAUCAUAUGAGUCACACAAAUAUAAGUUCAAGUAAGUAACAAUAAACUCGCAAGAUCAAAUAUGAAUGGUUGCUUAGUUAUCUAAACAAACCUUUAACUAUUUUCUACCUUGCUUCACCUUUCUACCAUGAUAUAAAUGUAUGGAUUUGUUUGUUCUUCACCAUAAAAAGUAAAUAAGUCACGUAUAUGACCCAAUGAUCAAGCGUAAACCUUUUUGCCCUUAGUUUGUUGUUUUGAUGCUAAAAAUAAAAAGGGGUUGGUUUGAAUAUUAUAACAAGAAAAGAGAUUUGUGACUUCUCACUUCCAUUUUUGAGUUAAGAGGAGUAUUAUUGCUUGGUGAAUUGUUGGUGGCUCUUGAACAUCAUCCUCAAACAUCGGAAGGAUAGAAGGAAGAUUGUCUACAAAAAAAGAUGAAAAAUAGUUAAAAUAUUGUAAGCGAAACCUAGGCACUAUCACGUGGAGUGGUAGAGUAGAGAUGUUGACUAGUCCCAACUUCGUGUGAGUUACGGUCUAAGUUCAAAUUCCUAUGAUUUGGAUUGCCCAACGUUAAAGCUAAGGUUUGUGCAAUUCUAUUUGUCUGCCCCCACUACUUAGUCUUGUGAUGUAUAGUUUCCCUUUUGGAUUGAAGUGGGUUCUAGAGUAGACAUUGCACAUGUGUAAAUUGGGAUUCACGUAUAAUAAUCAAACUUAGAGAAACAUAUGUUGUCAACUAUCGAGAACAAAAGCCACACCACACACACAAACACAAACACUUUUUAUUCGAUUCUUGUCAUUGGAAUUUGAAAGAGUUAAGGUAUGUAUGAUGAAUCUAUUGUUUAUUAGAGGAGGUUCAUAUAUAAGCUUUAGAAGGUGCACAAAAAGAGAAGUUUUAGAAGAAGAGAGAGAAAGAAGAAGAAGAAGGUGGGAAAAUGAAAAAGUGGUAGGGAACAAGUUAUUAGAGAUGGUAUUCAUGCAAUUGCAAUUUAUGUCUCACAAAUUGAUAGACUCGAGUUAUUUGAGGGGACCACAUGUGAAUUUAUAGUACUUUAUAGUAAAGAAUAAAAUAUUCAUCUGGCCCUUGAUUUUGA
Molecule: long non-coding RNA, 1500 nt
Organism: Vigna unguiculata (cowpea)
Lineage: Eukaryota; Viridiplantae; Streptophyta; Magnoliopsida; Fabales; Fabaceae
Source: RefSeq, a predicted model, not a curated record